GUCCCUGUAGCGCAAUAAUAGCUCUUUGGAAUAUAAAUCCAAAGGUCGUGCGUUCGAAUCCCACCUGAGAUG
Trichonephila clavipes is the source of this 72-nucleotide non-coding RNA. Lineage: Eukaryota; Metazoa; Arthropoda; Arachnida; Araneae; Nephilidae. The record is from the annotation of a GenBank genome assembly.